Non-coding RNA from Potamilus streckersoni, 79 nucleotides. The record is from the annotation of a GenBank genome assembly. NCBI's taxonomy places the organism in Eukaryota, Metazoa, Mollusca, Bivalvia, Unionida, Unionidae.
AACUUCAAAUUAUAAGUCUAAUGGUUAGAGCGUCCGCUUUGGAUGCGGGAGGUCGUGGGUUCGAUACCCGGUCGAGUCA